This 442-nucleotide ribosomal RNA is filed under the name uncultured bacterium. Its description in RNAcentral is "partial 16S ribosomal RNA". It matches the Rfam family "Bacterial small subunit ribosomal RNA", at positions 338 to 795 of the family's 1533-position model. The record is from RNAcentral.
CCUACGGGAGGCAGCAGUGGGGAAUAUUGGGCAAUGGGCGCAAGCCUGACCCAGCAACGCCGCGUGAAGGAAGAAGGCUUUCGGGUUGUAAACUUCUUUUAAGAGGGAAGAGUAGAAGACGGUACCUCUUGAAUAAGCCACGGCUAACUACGGGCCAGCAGCCGCGGUAAUACGAAGGUGGCAAGCGUGGUCUGGAUUGAUUGGGUGAAAAGGGAGUGCAGCCGGGAAGACAAGUCAGCUGUGAAAUCCCGGGGCUCAACCGCGGAACUGCAGUUGAAACUGUUUUUCUUGAGUACCGGAGAGGUCGUCGGAAUGCCGUGUGUAGCGGUGAAAUGCGUAGAUAUAAGGAAGAACACCGGUGGCGAAGGCGGAUGACUGGACGGCAACUGACGCUGAGGCACGAAAGCGUGGGGAGCAAACAGGAUUAGAUACCCCUGUAGUC